UUUCCGUAGGUGAACCUGCGGAAGGAUCAUUAAAAAUGAAGCCGGGAAACCGGUCCUUCUAACCCUUGAUUCUCUUAAUUUGUUGCUUUGGUGGGCCGCGCAAGCACCGGCUUCGGCUGGAUCGUGCCCGCCAGAGGACACAACUCUGUAUCAAAUGUCGUCUGAGUACUAUAAAAUAGUUAAAACUUUCAACAACGGAUCUCUUGGUUCUG
This 212-nucleotide unclassified non-coding RNA is filed under the name plant metagenome. RNAcentral describes it as "partial contains small subunit ribosomal RNA, internal transcribed spacer 1, and 5.8S ribosomal RNA". The record is from RNAcentral.